CCCUUAGAUGUCCGGGGCUGCACGCGCGCUACACUGAAGGAAUCAGCGUGCUAAAACCAUUGUCGAAAGGCAUUGGUAAACCCAUUAAAAUCCUACGUGAUUGGGAUCGGGAAUUGCAAUUAUUUCCCUUGAACGAGGAAUUCCCAGUAAGUGUGGGUCAUAAGCUCGCGUUGAUUACGUCCCUGCCCUUUGUGCACACCGCCCGUCGCUGCCCGGGACUGAGCCGUUUCGAGAAAAGCGGGGACUGCUGCUGUCGGGGCUUUCGGGCCUUGGCUUCGGUGGAAACCGCUUUAAUCGCAGUGGCUUGAACCGGGCAAAAGUCGUAACA
Molecule: ribosomal RNA, 328 nt
Filed under: uncultured eukaryote
Lineage: Eukaryota
Description: partial 18S ribosomal RNA
Rfam family: Eukaryotic small subunit ribosomal RNA
Source: RNAcentral